CCUACGGGUGGCAGCAGUGGGGAAUAUUGCACAAUGGGCGCAAGCCUGAUGCAGCCAUGCCGCGUGUGUGAAGAAGGCCUUCGGGUUGUAAAGCACUUUCAGCGGGGAGGAAGGCGUUAAGGUUAAUAACCUUGGCGAUUGACGUUACCCGCAGAAGAAGCACCGGCUAACUCCGUGCCAGCAGCCGCGGUAAUACGGAGGGUGCAAGCAUUAAUCGGAAUUACUGGGCGUAAAGCGCACGCAGGCGGUCUGUCAAGUCGGAUGUGAAAUCCCCGGGCUCAACCUGGAACUGCAUUCGAAACUGGCAGGCUAGAGUCUUGUAGAGGGGGGUAGAAUUCCAGGUGUAGCGGUGAAAUGCGUAGAGAUCUGGAGGAAUACCGGUGGCGAAGGCGGCCCCCUGGACAAAGACUGACGCUCAGGUGCGGAAGCGUGGGGAGCAAACAGGAUUAGAUACCCGAGUAGUC
This 464-nucleotide ribosomal RNA is filed under the name uncultured Klebsiella sp. RNAcentral's name for it is "bacterial SSU rRNA". It matches the Rfam family "Bacterial small subunit ribosomal RNA", at positions 338 to 795 of the family's 1533-position model. Lineage: Bacteria; Pseudomonadati; Pseudomonadota; Gammaproteobacteria; Enterobacterales; Enterobacteriaceae. The record is from RNAcentral.